RNAcentral lists this ribosomal RNA (393 nucleotides) under uncultured bacterium. RNAcentral's name for it is "partial 16S ribosomal RNA". It matches the Rfam family "Bacterial small subunit ribosomal RNA", at positions 523 to 918 of the family's 1533-position model. The record is from RNAcentral.
AUACGGAGGAUCCGAGCGUUAUCCGGAUUUAUUGGGUUUAAAGGGAGCGUAGGUGGAUUGUUAAGUCAGUUGUGAAAGUUUGCGGCUCAACCGUAAAAUUGCAGUUGAAACUGGCAGUCUUGAGUACAGUAGAGGUGGGCGGAAUUCGUGGUGUAGCGGUGAAAUGCUUAGAUAUCACGAAGAACUCCGAUCGCGAAGGCAGCUCACCGGGCCGGAACUGACACUGAUGCUCGAAAGUGCGGGUAUCAAACAGGAUUAGAUACCCUGGUAGUCCGCACAGUAAACGAUGAAUACUCGCUGUUUGCGAUACACGGUAAGCGGCCAAGCGAAAGCGUUAAGUAUUCCACCUGGGGAGUACGCCGGCAACGGUGAAACUCAAAGGAAUUGACGGGG